GCGCAUUAGCUAGUUGGUGAGGUAACGGCUCACCAAGGCGACGAUGCGUAGCCGGCCUGAGAGGGUGACCGGCCACACUGGGACUGAGACACGGCCCAGACUCCUACGGGAGGCAGCAGUAGGGAAUCUUCCGCAAUGGGCGAAAGCCUGACGGAGCGACGCCGCGUGAGCGAAGAAGGCCUUCGGGUCGUAAAGCUCUGUUGUGAGGGACGAAGGAGCGCCGUUCGAAGAGGGCGGCGCGGUGACGGUACCUCACGAGAAAGCCCCGGCUAACUACGUGCCAGCAGCCGCGGUAAUACGUAGGGGGCGAGCGUUGUCCGGAAUUAUUGGGCGUAAAGCGCGCGCAGGCGGUCUCUUAAGUCUGAUGUGAAAGCCCACGGCUCAACCGUGGAGGGUCAUUGGAAACUGGGGGACUUGAGGGCAGGAGAGGAGAGCGGAAUUCCACGUGUAGCGGUGAAAUG
RNAcentral lists this ribosomal RNA (461 nucleotides) under Geobacillus stearothermophilus. RNAcentral describes it as "bacterial SSU rRNA". It matches the Rfam family "Bacterial small subunit ribosomal RNA", at positions 236 to 688 of the family's 1533-position model. The record is from RNAcentral. Lineage: Bacteria; Bacillati; Bacillota; Bacilli; Caryophanales; Anoxybacillaceae.